This 576-nucleotide ribosomal RNA is filed under the name uncultured eukaryote. RNAcentral's name for it is "SSU rRNA". It matches the Rfam family "Eukaryotic small subunit ribosomal RNA", at positions 203 to 786 of the family's 1831-position model. The record is from RNAcentral.
UUUGUUACUUCAAACCAAUCGGACUUCGGUCUGACACCAAGUGAUAUUGAACAAUUUAGCUGAUCGCACGGUCUAAGAACCGGCGACAUAUCCUUCAAAUGUCUGCCUUAUCAACUUUCGAUGGUAGAUUAUGCGCCUACCAUGGUUGUAACGGGUAACGGAGAAUCAGGGUUUGAUUCCGGAGAGGGAGCCUGAGAAACGGCUACCACAUCCAAGGAAGGCAGCAGGCACGCAAAUUACCCACCCCCGGCACGGGGAGGUAGUGACGAAAAAUAACAAGCUGGUCUCAAUGAGUUCCAGCAUUGUAAUGGGUACAAUUUAAAUCUUUUAUCGAGGAUCUAUUGGAGGGCAAGUCUGGUGCCAGCAGCCGCGGUAAUUCCAGCUCCAAUAGCGUAUAUUAAAGUUGUUGCGGUUAAAAAGCUCGUAGUUGGAUCUAGGAUUAGGGCUACGGUCGUUCAGCUUGGACGUACUGUAUGCCCGACUCCUUUUCUCUAGUAUUCGAUUGUUGCUCUUAAAUGAGUGACUUUAGUUGCUGGAACUUUUACCUUGAAAAAAUUGAAGUGCUCAAAGCAGGUU